Molecule: transfer RNA, 76 nt
Filed under: Rhodospirillaceae bacterium
Lineage: Bacteria; Pseudomonadati; Pseudomonadota; Alphaproteobacteria; Rhodospirillales; Rhodospirillaceae
Description: tRNA-Phe
Rfam family: tRNA
About the family: Transfer RNA (tRNA) molecules are approximately 80 nucleotides in length.
Source: RNAcentral
GCCCAGGGAGCUCAGUUGGUAGAGCAGCGGACUGAAAAUCCGCGUGUCGGUGGUUCGAAUCCGCCCCUGGGCACCA